This 1470-nucleotide ribosomal RNA is filed under the name metagenome. RNAcentral's name for it is "bacterial SSU rRNA". It matches the Rfam family "Bacterial small subunit ribosomal RNA". The record is from RNAcentral.
AGAGUUUGAUCAUGGCUCAGGACGAACGCUGGCGGCACGCUUAACACAUGCAAGUCGAACGAGAGAAGAGGAGCUUGCUUUUCUGAUCUAGUGGCGGACGGGUGAGUAACACGUGAGCAAUCUGCCUUUCAGAGGGGGAUACCGAUUGGAAACGAUCGUUAAUACCGCAUAACAUAAUUGAACCGCAUGAUUUGAUUAUCAAAGAUUUAUCGCUGAAAGAUGAGCUCGCGUCUGAUUAGCUAGUUGGUAAGGUAACGGCUUACCAAGGCGACGAUCAGUAGCCGGACUGAGAGGUUGAUCGGCCACAUUGGGACUGAGACACGGCCCAGACUCCUACGGGAGGCAGCAGUGGGGAAUAUUGCACAAUGGAGGAAACUCUGAUGCAGCGAUGCCGCGUGAGGGAAGAAGGUUUUAGGAUUGUAAACCUCUGUCUUCAGGGACGAAAAAAGACGGUACCUGAGGAGGAAGCUCCGGCUAACUACGUGCCAGCAGCCGCGGUAAUACGUAGGGAGCGAGCGUUGUCCGGAAUUACUGGGUGUAAAGGGAGCGUAGGCGGGAUCGCAAGUCAGAUGUGAAAACUAUGGGCUUAACCCAUAAACUGCAUUUGAAACUGUGGUUCUUGAGUGAAGUAGAGGUAAGCGGAAUUCCUAGUGUAGCGGUGAAAUGCGUAGAUAUUAGGAGGAACAUCAGUGGCGAAGGCGGCUUACUGGGCUUUAACUGACGCUGAGGCUCGAAAGCGUGGGGAGCAAACAGGAUUAGAUACCCUGGUAGUCCACGCCGUAAACGAUGAUUACUAGGUGUGGGGGGACUGACCCCUUCCGUGCCGCAGCAAACGCAAUAAGUAAUCCACCUGGGGAGUACGACCGCAAGGUUGAAACUCAAAGGAAUUGACGGGGGCCCGCACAAGCAGUGGAGUAUGUGGAUUAAUUCGAAGCAACGCGAAGAACCUUACCAGGUCUUGACAUCGUAUGCAUAGCUCAGAGAUGAGUGAAAUCUCUUCGGAGACAUAUAGACAGGUGGUGCAUGGUUGUCGUCAGCUCGUGUCGUGAGAUGUUGGGUUAAGUCCCGCAACGAGCGCAACCCUUACUGUUAGUUGCUACGCAAGAGCACUCUAGCAGGACUGCCGUUGACAAAACGGAGGAAGGUGGGGAUGACGUCAAAUCAUCAUGCCCCUUAUGACCUGGGCCUCACACGUACUACAAUGGCUGUCAACAGAGGGAAGCAAAGCCGCGAGGUGGAGCGAACCCCUAAAAGCAGUCUUAGUUCGGAUUGUAGGCUGCAACCCGCCUACAUGAAGUCGGAAUUGCUAGUAAUCGCAGAUCAGCAUGCUGCGGUGAAUACGUUCCCGGGCCUUGUACACACCGCCCGUCACGCCAUGGGAGUCGGUAACACCCGAAGCCUGUAGUCUAACCGCAAGGAGGACGCAGUUGAAGGUGGGAUUGAUGACUGGGGUGAAGUCGUAACAAGGUA